RNAcentral lists this unclassified non-coding RNA (313 nucleotides) under Hevea brasiliensis (rubber tree). The record is from RNAcentral. Lineage: Eukaryota; Viridiplantae; Streptophyta; Magnoliopsida; Malpighiales; Euphorbiaceae.
GCCAAUUUUAGAUCUUCAUCUUCUGGCGCUGGACCAUUGGCCAAACCAGAUUCAACUAUCUUGUCUCCUCCAUUUCCUGCUUUUGGGCCAAUACGUAGACCAUUACCAGAUGAUAUAGUCUCUGGUUGUGCAAGUGUCUCGUGCUUGCUGCUUUCAUCUCUAAGGGAAGCUAGGACAGGUAGCUCAACAAAAAGUUGAUCAGUCUUCUUUGAUGUAUCAUCCAGACCAAUAAGUUCCUUAUAUAUGAACCCGCCCUGAGUGAUGACAAAGUCCCUGAUGGAUACUCCACCUGAAAAGCAUUUUAUGCCAGUCA